AUCCAUUGUUAUUUCUUCAUUUACGUCCAUAUCAUUAACUGAUUUAUUGUCGUUCAGAAAAGUAACUACUAUGUUGCUGUUUCUUUUAAGUUUAAAUUGUUCUAUGCAUACCAAGUUUAAAAUGUUAAUUGCCUGGGAUGAUUAGGUGUAUUGACGACAUGGACCAACAUCCAGAUCAAUCCGUUCUCUCAAAGUUGCCUCAUGGCGUCAAGUCCCACUUGAAGCAAUCUUCACUAAGUUUGGCAGAUGACAUGGAGCUAAAAGAGUUUCUGGAAUCCCAGAUUAAUGGUUAUGCAUUACUCAAAAGCAUCUACAAGUAAUAAGAGAUCUGCUAUGUUAAAUACUGAAAGGAGAAUUAUUUCUUGAGGACGAGAAUAAUUUUGGACAGGGGUAUACUAAAGAAAGCUCACGGUGGUCAAUCGAUCAACUUCUUGGUAUAAAGAAAGAAAUACGAAUUAAAGAACAAUAAGAAAGACGUACUUAGAGUAGAUGGGAGUAAGCAGUAAGCACCUCUUACUUUUUACUGGUUUGUCCGAUUCCACAUAUUAGAAUUGCAUUGUAAGUUGAAAAAAAUGUGUACUGAAAUUCUAUGUUGUUGAGAAUUACUUCAAAGCUUGAUUCAAUGGUAAUUCCUUCUUGGUUUAGAAAAUAGUAGAGUCUGCUACACUUCUGGGUUGUUGAGCCAUCUCAAUGUAUGUGUGCUCAGUAUAGGUUAUUGAUGUCUAUAUUUUCCCUCAUUUAUUACUUUUGAACUCAGUAGUGCAUUAAAAGAUUGGAAAGACUGUUAAAAUGCUGAUUUGGUCC
Lycium ferocissimum is the source of this 804-nucleotide long non-coding RNA. RefSeq lists it as uncharacterized. The transcript is spliced from 3 exons. The record is from RefSeq and is a predicted model, not a curated record. Lineage: Eukaryota; Viridiplantae; Streptophyta; Magnoliopsida; Solanales; Solanaceae.